This 460-nucleotide ribosomal RNA is filed under the name uncultured bacterium. Its description in RNAcentral is "partial 16S ribosomal RNA". It matches the Rfam family "Bacterial small subunit ribosomal RNA", at positions 338 to 795 of the family's 1533-position model. The record is from RNAcentral.
CCUACGGGAGGCAGCAGUGAGGAAUAUUGGUCAAUGGGCGCGAGCCUGAACCAGCCAAGUCGCGUGAGGGAAGACGGCCCUACGGGUUGUAAACCUCUUUUGCCGGGGAGCAACGGGCGCCACGUGUUGAGCCACUGAGAGUACCCGGAGAAAAAGCAUCGGCAAACUCGGUGCCAGCAGCCGCGGUAAUACGGAGGAUGCGAGCGUUAUCCGGAUUUGUUGGGUGUAAAGGGUGCGUAGGCGGAGCGUUAAGUCAGUGGUCAAAUUGCGGGGCUCAACCCCUUCCCGCCAUUGAAACUGGCGCUCUUGAGUGGAAGAGAAGUAUGCGGAAUGCGUGGUGUAGCGGUGAAAUGCAUAGAUAUCACGCAGAACCCCGAUUGCGAAGGCAGCAUGCCGGCUUCCGACUGACGCUGAAGCACGAAAGCGUGGGGAUCGAACAGGAUUAGAUACCCGAGUAGUC